This 276-nucleotide long non-coding RNA is filed under the name Ananas comosus (pineapple). RNAcentral describes it as "long non-coding RNA (ACOM_LNC017921)". Lineage: Eukaryota; Viridiplantae; Streptophyta; Magnoliopsida; Poales; Bromeliaceae. The record is from RNAcentral.
AUUUAUGAUUUGAACAUAAAUUCACAACUAUUAGUUAAAACGUUUCCAACUCGGAAACGGGUUUUGAAAUACUAAGUUAUGAAAACCACAAAAAACCUUUUGAAAGCUAUUUUCCACACGGAAACUCUUUUCUUUUUAAAACGCGCUACCACGAGGGGAGAAAACUAUUUUACAUUUCACAAAAUCCACAAAUCUUUUUAUUACAUUCAGAAAUCAACUGAAAACUUGAAUAUUCAAACACAAUGAAAUACUGAACCAUAUUAAGCUUUCUAAGUU